AAUAGGAAGUUAUUUUUGAGCGAGCCCUAAGGGAAUCCUGUGAGAAUCAGGAGUGGACCCGCCGCUGUGACCGGGGACGAAAAGCGCAAAAAUGCCACUGUUCCGCUAUACACGGGAUGGGAAGGCGCGUUGAUUAGGAACGGGGACGGAAUAACUUUCUCAAUUAGACGCAUAGAUUUGGGUCAUAUUUGUUCGAUCUCAAAUCACAAAAAUUGAUGGAAUAGCAAGCUAUUUNNCUAUGAUGUAUAAUGGGGAAGUUGUUUCGUCUCCGUUCCAUAGAGCCGGGAGCCAGAAGACCUGCCUGAAAAGAUCGCUCUAU
Molecule: non-coding RNA, 319 nt
Filed under: Desulfobacterales bacterium
Lineage: Bacteria; Pseudomonadati; Thermodesulfobacteriota; Desulfobacteria; Desulfobacterales
Source: RNAcentral